This 218-nucleotide long non-coding RNA is filed under the name Drosophila guanche. The record is from RNAcentral. Lineage: Eukaryota; Metazoa; Arthropoda; Insecta; Diptera; Drosophilidae.
GUUGGUCCAAGUGCUUCCAUGCCAUAUGUUAUUUAGGUUUUCGCGUCUCUAUCAGAUGUUGGUCUGAGAAGUAUACUUGGUAAAUAGAAACAUCAUUCUCUGCAUCAACGACCUGAUCAACGAGGUCCUGGCUCUGAAGGCGAGAGGGAAUCAGGUGGUGGCGGCCUGACUUGACCUACAAAGGGCAUUUGACUGCGUAAGAGUCGACACUUUAGAGC